This 872-nucleotide ribosomal RNA is filed under the name marine bacterium CS-21. Its description in RNAcentral is "bacterial SSU rRNA". It matches the Rfam family "Bacterial small subunit ribosomal RNA", at positions 38 to 982 of the family's 1533-position model. The record is from RNAcentral.
AGCGGCAGCUACACAUGCAGUCGAGCGCUCUCUUCGGAGGGAGCGGCGGACGGGUUAGUAACGCGUGGGAAUAUACCCUUUGGUACGGAAUAGCCUCUGGAAACGGAGAGUAAUACCGUAUGAGCCCUUCGGGGGAAAGAUUUAUCGCCAAAGGAUUAGCCCGCGUUAGAUUAGGUAGUUGGUGGGGUAAUGGCCUACCAAGCCUACGAUCUAUAGCUGGUUUUAGAGGAUGAUCAGCAACACUGGGACUGAGACACGGCCCAGACUCCUACGGGAGGCAGCAGUGGGGAAUCUUGGACAAUGGGGGCAACCCUGAUCCAGCCAUGCCGCGUGAGUGAUGAAGGCCUUAGGGUCGUAAAGCUCUUUCGCCUGUGAAGAUAAUGACGGUAGCAGGUAAAGAAACCCCGGCUAACUCCGUGCCAGCAGCCGCGGUAAUACGGAGGGGGUUAGCGUUGUUCGGAAUUACUGGGCGUAAAGCGCACGUAGGCGGACUGGAAAGUUGGGGGUGAAAUCCCAGGGCUCAACCCUGGAACUGCCUCCAAAACUAUCAGUCUAGAGUUCGAGAGAGGUGAGUGGAAUUCCGAGUGUAGAGGUGAAAUUCGUAGAUAUUCGGAGGAACACCAGUGGCGAAAGCGGCUCACUGGCUCGAUACUGACGCUGAGGUGCGAAAGUGUGGGGAGCAAACAGGAUUAGAUACCCUGGUAGUCCACACCGUAACGAUGAAUGCCAGUCGUCGGGUAGCAUGCUAUUCGUGACACACCUAACGGAUAGCAUUCCGCUGGGGAGUACGUCGCAGAUAAACUCAAAGAUGGACGGCCCGCACAGCGUGAGCAUGUGUUUAUCGAAGCACCGCGCAGAACUUACCAACCUUG